AUGAGCUAUUCUUGUCUAUCUGGAAUAAUAUCGAAAGCCGUAUGGAGAUAGAAAUAUUGAAGAAAGAUUGCACAAUCGCGACAAUCGUGCAAUCUUUUUCUCUAUCGAAAACACGUCGCCGUUAUUCUUUUAAUAAUCGAGUUUUGCGGUCGAAACGGACAUCUUUUUUCUCCAUCUUCUUCUCCUUUUUUCAACGAUUCCAAAGAGAGACCGCUAUUAAUUAUACCGGAUACCAUUCUCGAGAUAAUUGUUUUUUUCUCUCUCUUUUCUACAAUUAUACAUAUAUGGUUUCGAGCGUUUUUUCAAACGAAUACGUUAUAUCACUCGUUCUCCCCUCUCCUUUCCCUUAUUCAAGUCCACGAGUCCGUAACACGAAUAAUAAUUACAUGAAUAAUAAUUUCCAAUUCUAACCUAUAUCGUCUCGCGUCGAGUUGUGCGACCGAUUGUGUUUCAUUGACACCGCCCACGUGCCCAACUCGUUCACAGAAAGCAGCUUUCACCUUAUUUGUUCCAGGCGAAGAAAAAAAACACUUAAAUAACAGUAACAAUAAUAAUAAUAAUAAUAAUAACAAACACCGAGUCGAUAAUCGAGUUAACCAAUUUUCAAAUUUUAAAUCUUCCACGAUCCCUCCCUUAUCGACGUAACUUCGAAUCGUUCGAUCGAAAUGUAUAUAUAUAUAUAUAUUUCAAUUCAGAUCCAGAGUUGGUAAACGAAGUUGGAAAGUAGGAAAGCACGCGGUAAAGUUUACUCGCGACGACGGGUACGAUCUCGCGGAGGUUUGGAGCGGAGCCAAAACACCACCGUGUGUUCCUCUCUACGUCCGCUGGACCAGUUUUCUUUAUCCGGCUUUUGCACCGCAAACAGAUUUCGAAACGACCGGUUCUCCUUCCACGAAAACGAAACGCCCGUUUUCGGCGGCGGCGGCGGCAGCGGCGACGACAAAAAUAAAGCGGCACCCGCGAUAUCCUUGCGAACUUUACGAUCCUGUAACGGACGCACGCACACGCGCACGCGCACAUACUGUCCGCCAUUUUCGAUGAAGGUAUAUAACGUGGAUUGGGCAGAGGGCCUCGAAGCGAAGCGUCUUCCUCGCGUUCUCGUCACACGUGACGAAAGAAAGAGAAGUAAUUUUUACAUCGGCUUGCGAAACUCGUCGCGAAUUAUCGUUUCGCAACGAUAAUCGACGAUCAGGUGGAAAAUAAAGGAUCGUUUACAACGGAAGGAAA
Long non-coding RNA from Apis laboriosa (Himalayan honeybee), 1227 nucleotides. RefSeq lists it as uncharacterized. The record is from RefSeq and is a predicted model, not a curated record. Lineage: Eukaryota; Metazoa; Arthropoda; Insecta; Hymenoptera; Apidae. The transcript is spliced from 2 exons.